GGAGAUGUAGUUCAGUGGUAGAACACUUGCCUAGCAUGUGCAAGAUCCUAAGUUCAAUUCGCAGUAACUUCA
Molecule: transfer RNA, 72 nt
Filed under: Heterocephalus glaber (naked mole-rat)
Lineage: Eukaryota; Metazoa; Chordata; Mammalia; Rodentia; Bathyergidae
Rfam family: tRNA
About the family: Transfer RNA (tRNA) molecules are approximately 80 nucleotides in length.
Source: Rfam by way of RNAcentral